GGUUCCAUAGUGUAGCGGUUAGCAUGUCUGCUUUACAUGCAGAAGGUCCUGGGUUCGCACCCCAGUGGAGCCA
Molecule: transfer RNA, 73 nt
Filed under: Pteropus alecto (black flying fox)
Lineage: Eukaryota; Metazoa; Chordata; Mammalia; Chiroptera; Pteropodidae
Rfam family: tRNA
About the family: Transfer RNA (tRNA) molecules are approximately 80 nucleotides in length. Their secondary structure includes four short double-helical elements and three loops (D, anti-codon, and T loops).
Source: Rfam by way of RNAcentral